UACGUAGGGGGCAAGCGUUGUCCGGAUUUAUUGGGCGUAAAGAGCGUGUAGGCGGCUUGGUAGGUCCGUUGUGAAAACUCGAGGCUCAACCUCGAGACGCCGAUGGAAACCCUCCAGCUAGAGUCCGGAAGAGGAGAGUGGAAUUCCUGGUGUAGCGGUGAAAUGCGCAGAUAUCAGGAAGAACACCCGUGGCUAAGGCGGCUCUCUAGUACGGUACUGACGCUGAGACGCGAAAGCGUGGGGAGCGAACAGG
This 253-nucleotide ribosomal RNA is filed under the name uncultured bacterium. RNAcentral describes it as "partial 16S ribosomal RNA". It matches the Rfam family "Bacterial small subunit ribosomal RNA", at positions 524 to 776 of the family's 1533-position model. The record is from RNAcentral.